AACGAACGCUGGCGGCAUGCCUAACACAUGCAAGUCGAACGAGACCUUCGGGUCUAGUGGCGCACGGGUGCGUAACGCGUGGGAACCUGCCCUUAGGUUCGGAAUAACUCCCCGAAAGGGGUGCUAAUACCGGAUAAUGUCUUCGGACCAAAGAUUUAUCGCCCUUGGAUGGGCCCGCGUUGGAUUAGCUAGUUGGUAGGGUAAAAGCCUACCAAGGCGACGAUCCAUAGCUGGUCUGAGAGGAUGAUCAGCCACACUGGGACUGAGACACGGCCCAGACUCCUACGGGAGGCAGCAGUGGGGAAUAUUGGACAAUGGGCGAAAGCCUGAUCCAGCAAUGCCGCGUGAGUGAUGAAGGCCUUAGGGUUGUAAAACUCUUUUACCCGGGAUGAUAAUGACAGUACCGGGAGAAUAAGCUCCGGCUAACUCCGUG
This 433-nucleotide ribosomal RNA is filed under the name uncultured bacterium. RNAcentral describes it as "partial 16S ribosomal RNA". It matches the Rfam family "Bacterial small subunit ribosomal RNA", at positions 29 to 507 of the family's 1533-position model. The record is from RNAcentral.